RNAcentral lists this ribosomal RNA (954 nucleotides) under Triticum aestivum (bread wheat). RNAcentral describes it as "partial small subunit ribosomal RNA". The record is from RNAcentral. Lineage: Eukaryota; Viridiplantae; Streptophyta; Magnoliopsida; Poales; Poaceae.
AUGCUCACCGACGCCAACUACGGCGUGUGGGCGGUGAAGAUGAAGAUCAUUCACGUCGACAAGGAGUGCGACAAAGGUGCCAUGGACGCCAUAGCCCAGUCUGUGCCGGAUUCUGUGCUGAUGACAUUGGCGGAGUUCGAGACAGCAAGAGAGGCGUGGAAUGCACUCAAAGAGAUGAGGAUCAGAGAAGAUUGCGUCACCAAGGCUCGGGCACAAGUGCUGAAGCACCAAUUUCACAAGUUGCAGAUGGAGGAAACUGAAUCGGUGAACGACUAUGCCAUGCGUCUGACUACUUUGGUGGGAGAGAUCCGCGCGCUUGGUGCAAAGCUCGAGGAGACUGAGAUUGUAGAGAAGUUUUUCAGUUCGGUCACUGAUAAAUUCACGUACAUCAUCGGCACGCUCGAGCAGCUUUACAACAUCGACGACAUGACCAUAAUGGAGGCGAUCGGACGCUUGCGGACAUGGGAAGAGAAUGCCCGUGGUUGUCGGAAAGGCAAAGGAGGAGGUGGUGACCAACUCAUGUACUCGCGCGCAGAUUGGGAGUCCCCAAGUAGCAAAGGAAGGCGCAACGUUGGCAAAGGCUCAAACAACGCGAAGAGCGGCGGACAAACCGGAAAAGGCAAAGCAAAAGGCAAGCCACAAGGUCGUGGUAAGGCGGACCGAUCUAAAGAGCGGAAGCCACGGAACUUGGAUAUAUCCGAGGUCAAGUGCUAUAACUGCAAUGAGAUGAGUCACUUUGCGAAGAAUUGUCCGGAGCCUAACAAGCGGGAGAUCAAGGCAAAUUUCGCGAAGCAGGAAGACGAACGUCCAGGUCUUCUGAUGGCCGAAGUUUGUGAUCUCGUCCAAACAACGGUUGUGAAACCAAACCGGAAGGUACUGCUUCAUGAGGAAAAGGUAACACCAAAUGUUAUCCGGGAGCCAGAACGUGUCGUGGUAUCUAGACACGGGUGCUAG